UGGUGAGUAGGAGUGUGUGGAUUGGGAUCUGGAGUGAAGGACUGGAAUUCAGGAGUUCCUGUGCCUGGAGAUGAUGCAGUUGUCUGAGGAUGCCCAAGGCAUUUUGCAGCCUAGAAGGCACUUCUGUGAUCUUUCCAAAUGGGAAAAUCUCUUGCCAUCUGCUGUGCUAGGUUCUAAAGCCAGGUUGCACAGUAGAGUUAGUAAAACCAUGUGUUUCCCCCUUCUGUAGAACAGGGGAUAAGUGCUCAUUUCCCCCUGCGGGGGUUGGCUAACAGUGGAUAUGUGUGGGCCAGUGAAAUGCUGUCUGGAUCACCACAUCUUAGAUGUGAUCUGUCUUCUGUGUGUCCCCAGCUUAGCAGACAUGUUUUAGCAAAGUGUCUUGUUUCUUUAUUAUUUUUUUUUUUUUGUAUGAAAACAAAGCAGCAGAGGUGCCUGGCUCCUCCUGCUGCACCGGUGACACUUUGUUUUGCUCUGGGGGCACUGACCGCACCAGCUGCUUUAAGGAGGAUGCAAGUUCCUAAGUUCUGCUCCAGUGUGAAAAGGAGCGAAUGGUAUUUCCUUCAACAACACAUGCUUUGUGUUUCCACAUGAUUUCAGUUAUACAAGCUUGCUUACUUCAUGUCCUUUUAUUUAUUUGAAAACUUCCCUCAGACAGCAGGGAAAGUGCUGCAAACCCACUGUAACGUUCAGCAGCCGUAGAGCAACUUAGAGCAACUUGGCAUGCAGCAGGGAACGAGCAUGCCUCUGGCACUUUGUUGCCAGCACAGAUGACGUGUGGCAGCAAUAAGGGCUUUAAGAACAGCUUUCUUGGAAGUGCCACUGUGCUGUGCUCUGCCCUGCUCUCAAAGAACAGAGUGAAAAAGGCACAGAAUCGGCUUGUGUUCAUAGGUGGGUUAUUUGUUGGUUGUGCUGACCUUGCCUCUGCCCCUUCAGGAGGAGCAUGGAGUAAGUCCUUUGUGGGGGGAAAUGCACUGGAGCUGCCCACUCAGGAUACUUACAUGGCCGUUCCAUGGUGCCACAAUUGUCAGUGAGGGGACAGCGUUGGAUGCUGGAGACCAGGGAUACCGCCUCUUAAAAACUGAUGUUCAGGCAGGACGAUCUUGUGCACUCACACUAUCAGUUGCCAGGAUUGUGCAUAAAUGUGCUUGUUUUCUGACAUUGCAAACUCAGUCUUGUAAAUGUUGGGGAAAUAGUUGGUAUCUGAAUUUUCUGUAUCUGCCAAUAUUUAAUUCAGGGAGCAAAUAAAAACUAUCCUGGUAUUA
This is a long non-coding RNA of Egretta garzetta (little egret), 1262 nucleotides long. RefSeq lists it as uncharacterized. The record is from RefSeq and is a predicted model, not a curated record. The transcript is spliced from 2 exons. Lineage: Eukaryota; Metazoa; Chordata; Aves; Pelecaniformes; Ardeidae.